AGUGAACGCUGGCGGUAGGCCUAACACAUGCAAGUCGAACGGCAGCACAGUAAGAGCUUGCUCUUACGGGUGGCGAGUGGCGGACGGGUGAGGAAUACAUCGGAAUCUACUUUUUCGUGGGGGAUAACGUAGGGAACCUUACGCUAAUACCGCAUACGACCUACGGGUGAAAGCAGGGGAUCUUCGGACCUUGCGCGAUUGAAUUAGCCGAUGUCGGAUUAGCUAGUUGGCGGGGUAAAGGCCCACCAAGGCGACGCUCCGUAGCUGGUCUGAGAGGAUGAUCAGACACACUGGAACUGAGACACGGGCCAGACUCCUACGGGAGGCAGCAGUGGGGAAUAUUGGACAAUGGGCGCAAGCCUGAUCCAGCCAUACCGCGUGGGUGAAGAAGGCCUUCGGGUUGUAAAGCCCUUUUGUUGGGAAAGAAAAGCAGCAGGUUAAUACCCCGCUGUUCUGACGGUACCCAAAGAAUAAGCACCGGCUAACUUCGUG
Molecule: ribosomal RNA, 492 nt
Filed under: uncultured bacterium
Lineage: Bacteria
Description: partial 16S ribosomal RNA
Rfam family: Bacterial small subunit ribosomal RNA
Source: RNAcentral